Osmerus eperlanus (European smelt) is the source of this 2247-nucleotide long non-coding RNA. RefSeq lists it as uncharacterized. Lineage: Eukaryota; Metazoa; Chordata; Actinopteri; Osmeriformes; Osmeridae. The transcript is spliced from 3 exons. The record is from RefSeq and is a predicted model, not a curated record.
AGAAAACAAACAAACAAAAAUAUACUCUCUACUCUUUGAUCGUUGAGGUCAUAAUGAGAAUCCUUCAGCAGCUGGAGCAGAUGUCGUCAUGGCGCACCGUGAAGCUGUGUCAUGCAUGACGGAGUGCGCCGCGGACUCUCUGUCUCCAAAGUUACAGCACCACGGUCUGCCUUCGUUUUCACACCCGUCAAACGGACUGCAGCAAGGCUAACAUACUAUGGCUAUGCUAACAGACUGCGGCUAGCCCAUUAGACUGUCUGCAGCAAUGCUAAUAUACUCUGGCUAAGGCUAGCAGACUACAACUUGGCUUAUUGACGGCUGGGCCACAUCUGGUCAUCUGGGCAGUCUGCCAAUAUGAAUUUAUCAGAAUUAAGACAAACUAGUGCACAGUGCCCGUGAUGCAGUUGGUGCGAUGUCAGUGAAACACACAAAUACAGAUUACUUGAACUAUAGAUAGUACACAGUGCCUGUGAUAAAAUUGGUGGCGCACAUACACACACACACAGAUUCCUGGAGUUGUAGAUAGGUCACAGUGCACGUGAUGAUGUCGGUGACACGCACAGAUGUCUGGAAUUAUAGAUAGAUAAUGCAGUGCCCAUGAUGCAGCUGGUGAUGACAGUUCUUCUUAGUGGCUUUGGUACCUAUAUUUCUCAGAUCACAAAUGAAAUUCUCUGUCAUCUCUGAAGUACUUGUUCAACUUAAUCUAUUCUGGUCACUUAUGCACAUCAUAAAAGCAAUUUCUCAUUCUUUUAAACAAAUUGCCAAUGCUCUUGUAUAUUCUUGCAAAUUACAAUGUAGCUUUCAUUGGUCUGAUGUUUCCUAUGUUAUCAAUUGCUUAUGUCAUGUUGAUCAAAGUGUAUUAUAUUGAUUCUCUUUUAAAUUGUCUUACCACCACAAACAUCUUAGACAUUUAGUUCAUAACAGAAGUAAUUACAUGCACAAUGGUUUAGCCAGUUGUCAUGAUUGUAGACCUAAUUCACCAUACAGCGCUUGCAUGUACAGGUCUGCCUAAGAGGUGUUAUUUCUAUGUUUACAUAAACAUUUGUAUUUUUUCCUUUGUGCUAUGCAAUGCUGUAAAAUAGUCUUGUAUUUUCUGUAUCGCAUUUGCAUAAAUAAGACACGACAACUGGCCGAGGAGACUAAAUUCGUACGAACAUUGUUCCUGUCGAAUACCCGUCAAUCGCGGCACUGCACUCCGUUGGAUUACAAAAAGGACACCUGCAAAAUAUGAACUUUGCAGAGUUCAUAGAUCUUGAGUUGAACGUGGGAAACUAAACCCAUUCUAAUUCGUACACACACAAACAUACAAACACACACACACACAGAUUCCUGGCAUUAUUAUAGAGAUCCCCAUAGAACAAAGUCUGUGAUGGGAAGUGGCUCAUUGAUGUAGUGUUGCAAAACGCAGGGUCUGGAAGCAAUAUGAGACCGAGGAGGAGGGAGGACAUGGGGGAACGUUGUGGUUUUGAAAGCCAUAAGGAAAGAAUAAAAGGGAUAAAUGAGAAAAUCCCGGACGAUUAAUCACAUCUCUGUAUACAUGUACAGUAGAUUCCUCAUAGACACACAUAUGUUGCAAAGUGUAUGAUGCAUAUUUUUACUGUAUAGAUAUUUGCGUAGCGGCUACGGUACGUGUCUUGAUAUGUUUUUUUAGCUCAGUGGUUAGAGCAUUUGACUUUAAAUCAAGAGGUUGCAGGCUGAAAUUCCCCUCUGUGCACCCUUUUGGACAAAAGCGUCUGCUAAUGAAUAUAUUAUUUGUCCCGGUGGCUGGCCAGCCCUGGGACAUUACAUUAUUACUAUCAUAAGAUUAUCACUGACACAAAUACAUUGUAUUUGUUUGAAGUCUAGGAUAUAAAUGUAUUAUCAUAAAAUCUGACAAGCUGUAUUUAUGGCAAACAGUACUUACUUUAGUAUGUAUAAAAUAAUAUGUAUGUGUGAGUAUUAUAAAGAGAAAUUGUUAAAGUCGUGGAUGUGAGUUAGCCUUCUCUUCUCUCACUUUGAACCACACUUUCACCACAAUGCUGUAUUCAUCGUUAUCAACUACAUUCAUUGUUUUGUAAUUUUUCCUCAACAUGGUCUGUGCAGUAUCAAUUCAUUCUUUGAGGGUUGUUUCAACCCGUCUAGAGAAUUGAAUUCCAUUUUAUCAUAACCUUUUGGUUGUCUGUUACGUCUCUGAUGACUUAGAUUGAGAUUAGAUCAAUUGUUAAUUGUUCAUCAAGAGGCUCAAUAAACCACCAUCAAUAUUUAACA